RNAcentral lists this ribosomal RNA (390 nucleotides) under uncultured archaeon. Its description in RNAcentral is "bacterial SSU rRNA". It matches the Rfam family "Archaeal small subunit ribosomal RNA", at positions 355 to 747 of the family's 1478-position model. The record is from RNAcentral.
AUAAGCGAAAGCUUGACAGGGUUAUUCUGAGUGAUUUCCGCUAAGGAAAUCUUUUGGCACCUCUAAAAAUGGUGCAGAAUAAGGGGUGGGCAAGCCUGGUGUCAGCCGCCGCGGUAAUACCAGCACCCCGAGUGGUCGGGACGAUUAUUGGGCCUAAAGCAUCCGUAGCCGGUUCUACAAGUCUUCCGUUAAAUCCACCUGCUCAACAGUUGGGCUGCGGAGGAUACUAUAGAGCUAGGAGGCGGGAGAGGCAAGCGGUACUUAGUGGGUAGGGGUAAAAUCCGUUGAUCCAUUGAAGACCACCAGUGGCGAAGGCGGCUUGCCAGAACGCACUCGACGGUGAGGGAUGAAAGCUGGGGGAGCAAACCGGAUUAGAUACCCGGGUAGUCC